UACAGAUCCCUCUCUAUUUCAGCUCACGAGCCAAGUCACCCUAACAUGGCACCAGAAGUUGAGCACUCAGGUUUAAUUGUAAUGUUGACGCUUUGCGACAGAUAAGUGGGUUUGGGUUGCAGUUUGGGCACUGUCUCUAAAAGAUUCACCAUCACUGAUCUACAUAAUGGGUCUGAUUAUUAUAAUUAUGGAACUAAAGUUACAAGCAGCUACUAGCAAUAAGUCAUAGAAAUUCUAGUGUCACAGAUUAAAGACCUAUAGUUGGGGACAAUCUUGGGUGGGAUUUUCUGGUUUAGUUUCUUUGGGAAUGAGGUAAAGAUGGUCCAGUUGGAAGUAAAUGUAAUCAUUUUAAAUGAAGUCAUGAUUCUUACCCGACAACUUCUUCAGUGGGUUCUGAUCUACUAUCCAUUGUAGCAAAAAUCUGAUUAAUUUCACAAAGUAUUAGACAACCAACUUUGACAACUAUUCUCGUAGCUGACCACUCAGCUUUCUCGUGGAAUUAAAAUUCCUCUUCAGGAGCACAGGAUUUGGGGGGGCUGUGAAACCAUUCUGUAUGGCAUUGCAGUGGUUUAUACAUGUCAUUAGACAUUUAUCAAAACUACGGAAUAGGUAACAUCAAGUGAUUGGUAUAGGUUUAUGGCUAGGGACAUUGACAGUGCAGGAAGCUGUGCCCAUGUGAGGACAGGAAUGUGUGGGAUCUCCCCUCAAUUUUACAAUGAACCUAAAACUGCUCUAUAAAAUAAAGUCUGUUUAUUUUUUUAAAAAUUGUUCAAUGGGCCACUGUGUCUUGCAUGGUGAGUCACCUUCAUACUAUAGGGUGUACUUGUUUUUCUACUUUUACUUGGCUCAAACUCACUCUGCAGAGCCUGUUACUUUUCCUACCUUUAAUAAAACUUUGGUAUUAUUUGGCUUAUAUCGACCAAUUUGCACAGGACCAAAAGAACCUAGAAACUACCUCCAGCAGUAGACUACAGCACCCCAAAACCGAGAAACAUAUUUGGCGAGCCAGCCAGGAGACCAGGAAAAGCCCGGAAACUAUGGUGUUUAGAGUGGCCCCUGAGGAAGAGAAAGAUAUCUUCGAAGAUCCUAUUUGCUGAUCCCCACCUAUCUCUCGGGGAGAUAUGGUCUCUCCUAUUGUUUAAUGAAGAAACUUCAGAUUGGACUGCAGAUACCAAUGACCCAAUUUCUGGGCAUGACCUUUACUGCAUUCCACAGUCAGAAUCUGGAGAAGGGUCAAAAGAGAAAAGUUGGAAUUAUACCUGUUGCAACUGGCAAUUCAGUAAACUCACCCAAAUGGUCUAAGGAAAACCCAAGGAUGAUGGAUGACAAGAAGUGUGGAUACUGGCACAUAACUGAACCAAGCUACCUCCUAUGCCCUGCUCCAAGUGUAAAGCAGCCAGUGUGCCUGAUUCAUGGCACUGGAGGGUUGACUGUCCCUGCUCCCAGAGAGGGGCUAGGCCAUCCCCAACCUCGUUUCCCACUCUGAAGAGACCCAAGGAACCUACAGUGGAUAUUUUCUGCCCUUGGAUAUUACCAUCUCCUAUGUGGAACCUUGGCCCACAGCCUUUCCCCAUUCAUACCUCUCCUGCACCGCCACUGUACCCUCUGCUCCACCAGCACCAGGACUGGGAUGAGAAAUGCUGGCACUUCCAGAAUCCCCGGCCAUCCAGAGCUUCUAGACUGUGCCCGGACUGUGUUCAGUCUGCUGGAAGGUUCAACAGUCAGCUGUUGCCAGGGAUCAGAUCUUCCUUGUGAAGGACCACUCUUCUCAGCAGUGACAGGUUCUCUUUUCAUUCUUGUUCAGCCAAGAAACAACUUUAUUUUGGGAUAUUCAGAAAAACUCCCAUCGUGCUCACUACCACUACAUACCUUAGCUUCUGUUCUUCUAGAAUCAAAACCUCAGAAAAAGCCUUCGGUCUUGAGUUCAGGUGGCCUUUUGGGAGGGGAACCUGGGAAGUAGGACCCGGGUAGAGUAAGUGGAGAAAAAAGCCAGUUGUCACACUGAUGGCUGUUGUGGGCAGCUGGCUAGGAUCCCGAGGAACCGUCAAGCUUGCACGCCAGACUACAUCUCCGGAGUGCCUGAGGCUGGGCCCUUCCUCCUGCCUCCCCUCCUCCUAGCUGAGGUGUUCCCUGGGCUUCAAGCUGCUCUGUGCACAGGCGACAAGAACUAUUGAAGCAUUAAUAAUAAUAAUACUAACAACAACAACAACAGAAUUUUUAAAAUCUGUGGUGGCAAAUGGCAAAGUUGAGGGACUCUUCAGGAACUUGUAGUGAGCACUCCCAGAAUGCAUGAAGAACUCCCACUCUGGCCACAGCUGGAGUCCCAGACGGGCUAAGGGGAUGUGGCAUGGAGCACAAGCAACAUUGCUGCAAUUCAGACAGGUAAAGUGAUCUUCCUCACUCUCCUCAGCAACAAACCCAUAAUAUUUUAAAGUGCCCGGAUGGAACGUCUGCUGCUGUUUCUUUACUCCAAGAGGAUCAGAGACUCCAAGACGGCCAGGUUGUGUGCAGUCAGGGCCCAGCUGAUGUCCAGGGCCCUCCCAUGGAAGUUCCUUAUCUUCUGGCUCCUGUGUGUUCUUGUGUUCAACAAGUUCCUCCAGCUAGACUUAGACCAAAAAGAUGGACAUCCCAGCCCUUGUGCCAUUCCUUGGCAGAGCUUUGAAAGAAGUUGACACCAAGGUAGGAAUGCGGUGUGGAGAUAGAACUUUCUCUUCUCUAAGCUGAACUUUUGGGAAUCUUCAAAGCCAACCUGCAGAUUGCUCCAAACUAGAACUGCAGUUAUUUCUGCAGAAGAGAAAUUCUCACAGUGAUGUCUUCAAAGCCAGAGAAGGAAAGGGCAGAAGUCUUUACUCUCUGGAGAGAACUCAUCAGGGAAAGUUGGGCAAACAGAACAAGUCUCGAUGAAGGAGAGAACUUUGGGGCUGGGCUGGGAGCAGGGAGCCACGGAAGUGCCCCUUCCAAAAGAUAAUUCCUGUCAACAGAUGACAUUUUAAACUCUUUGAGAAACUCUGUAAGAGAUUUCUUAGAGCCAGAGAUGUAGCUCAGAGGCACCAUUCCUGCCUCACAAGUGCAAGGUCCUGAGUUCAAUCUCCA
Molecule: long non-coding RNA, 3093 nt
Organism: Fukomys damarensis (Damara mole-rat)
Lineage: Eukaryota; Metazoa; Chordata; Mammalia; Rodentia; Bathyergidae
Exons: 3
Source: RefSeq, a predicted model, not a curated record